CGGCGAGUGAAGCGGCAAAAGCUCAAAUUUGAAAUCUGGCGCCUUCGGUGUCCGAGUUGUAAUUUGAAGAUUGUAACCUUGGGGUUGGCUCUUGUCUAUGUUUCUUGGAACAGGACGUCACAGAGGGUGAGAAUCCCGUGCGAUGAGAUGCCCAAUUCUAUGUAAGGUGCUUUCGAAGAGUCGAGUUGUUUGGGAAUGCAGCUCUAAGUGGGUGGUAAAUUCCAUCUAAAGCUAAAUAUUGGCGAGAGACCGAUAGCGAACAAGUACAGUGAUGGAAAGAUGAAAAGAACUUUGAAAAGAGAGUGAAAAAGUACGUGAAAUUGUUGAAAGGGAAGGGUUUGAGAUCAGACUCGAUAUUUUGUGAGCCUUGCCUUCGUGGCGGGGUGACCCGCAGCUUAUCGGGCCAGCAUCGGUUUGGGCGGUAGGAUAAUGGCGUAGGAAUGUGACUUUACUUCGGUGAAGUGUUAUAGCCUGCGUUGAUGCUGCCUGCCUAGACCGAGGACUGCGAUUUUAUCAAGGA
Molecule: ribosomal RNA, 520 nt
Filed under: Meyerozyma guilliermondii
Lineage: Eukaryota; Fungi; Ascomycota; Pichiomycetes; Serinales; Debaryomycetaceae
Description: eukaryotic LSU rRNA
Rfam family: Eukaryotic large subunit ribosomal RNA
Source: RNAcentral